RNAcentral lists this non-coding RNA (112 nucleotides) under Pelosinus sp. UFO1. RNAcentral's name for it is "TPP riboswitch aptamer (THI element)". It matches the Rfam family "TPP riboswitch aptamer (THI element)". From Rfam's summary of the family: Vitamin B(1) in its active form thiamin pyrophosphate (TPP) is an essential coenzyme that is synthesised by coupling of pyrimidine and thiazole moieties in bacteria. RNAcentral also lists the same sequence under 1 other name. Lineage: Bacteria; Bacillati; Bacillota; Negativicutes; Selenomonadales; Sporomusaceae. The record is from Rfam by way of RNAcentral.
GAAUAAGGCAAGGGGGGCUGGAGAGGCUGGCUGAGAUAUAGAUCUGAUAAAAUCUAUGACCCUGUAACCUGAUCUGGGUAAUGCCAGCGGAGGGAUAGCGAUAGAGUUUUUG